GGAAAAUGUUUCAAUAAGAAGAAAGUUAAGGUAGGUGUUGUUAACAUCGAUGCUAGAGAUGAAGAAUUGUUGUCACUUGAGGGUGAAAUGGAGAGUGUGUUUGUAGAUUUUGAUCAUGUUGAUGGGAAUUUGAAAUGGGAGGAGAUAUUUCCAGAAUGGAUUGAUGAAAAUGGGAAGUGGGGUGAAGCCAAAUGCCCAAACAUUCCAAUGCCAAAGUUGGAGAAUUUUGAAGAUCUGAAUGGUGUGGUGGCAAAGGUUCCAUGUGGGGUUAGAGAUGUGUUUAGGUUGCAGGUGAAUUUGGUGGUGGCAAAUUUGGUUGUGAGAAGUGGAUGGGUGAACAAGAUGGAGAAUCAUCAUAGGAAUGUGUAUGUUGUGUUUGUUGGUUCUUGUGGUCCCAUGGAAGAGAUUUUCAGUUGUGACAACCUUUUGUCGCAUCAACAACAAUAUUGGGUGUACAAACCUGACCUAUGGAGCCUAAAACAGAAAACACUUAUGCCUGUUGGUUCAUGUCAAAUUGCUCCUGGUUAUGCAAAAACAGGUAAAGAGGUGUGGAGAAAUUUCUUUAGUGUUCCAAAAGUAGCCUACGUAUCUGUUCUUCACUCUUCAGAAGCUUAUGUUUGUGGUGCAAUAGCACUUGCUCAAAGCAUUCUUCGAUCAAAUACCAAUUUUCCAAAUGAUCUUCUACUCCUGGUUGAUAAAUCCAUUGGUCCAAAAUCCAUAACUGGUCUAAAAGCUGCAGGGUGGAAGAUCCAACGCAUCAAACGCAUCUUGAGCCCCUUUGCCAAAACGGGUGCAUACAACAAGUGGAACUACAGCAAACUACGAAUAUGGCAACUCACCAAGUACGACAAAAUCAUCUUCAUAGACUCCGACCUCGUACUCCUCAACAACCUCGACCAUUUAUUCGUGUACCCUCAGUUGUCAGCAGCACCUAACGAGAAAGUCUUGUUCAACUCGGGCUUGAUGGUGGUCGAGCCAUCCCAGUGCAUGUUCCAACAGAUGAUGAACAAAACCUUCAAGGUACGUUCCUACAAC
This 1035-nucleotide small RNA is filed under the name Vigna angularis var. angularis. Its description in RNAcentral is "Non-protein coding transcript". Lineage: Eukaryota; Viridiplantae; Streptophyta; Magnoliopsida; Fabales; Fabaceae. The record is from RNAcentral.